GCGAUUCCACGCUCAUCCCCUCUGAAUGCUUCAUCGGCGGCGCUAUCAGCCUUGCUCCGCCGUCUCACUGAACCUCCAUUGCACUCAACUUCCAUCGGCUUUGCUCGCAUCCCGUCGUACCCCUUCCCGGUUCAUCUUCGUCGCACCCCUUCCGUCGGUCUUGCUCGCAUCGCUCCCUUUCGAACCCUAAUGUCUGUUUCUCUCUUCGUUCUCACCACUAGUGCUUGCUCUUUCCGUGUGUUGCUGUGUUUCUCUCUUCGAUCUUGCCUCGGUUGUGCAGGAUUCGGAGAACAAAAGCUCUAAAGAUAAGAAGAAGAAAAGCCUAGGAAAACCAAGGCAUGGAGAGACCAAUUCAUUCAUCCCCCUCUUCAGAGAGCCAAGCAGCAUUGAGAAAAUCUUUGACGACUUCGAAAGAGAGCAACAAUGACUAUCUGUAAGGCCUCUAACGCCUCUCAAGCAACCAAAACCAGCCCCUGUUGUCCCUCCUAGAGCUGCUUCUCCAAGGGCUCCUUCUUCGAGGGCUCCAUCUCCAAGAGCUGCGUCUUUUAUUGAGAAUGUUCGAGGAGAUGGGCUUCAAGGUUGAUCACUCCAGUCCUAUAUAUAAGCGCUUUCGUCUGAAAAUACUUGGCCCAUUUGAAUCCGGAAUAACUAGUACUGGUUCGCCAGCAUCUGGUGGAAAAGGUGAAUUUAACAAAGGCAGAAAGGGAGACAAGGUUGCAAAUGAUAGCCUUCAAAAAGCCCAUCAAACCCUGGAAUUGAUCAAAAACUUCCAAAAAAUAUCAAAUGCCUAAUGGGAGGGAACGAGGGAAUGAGGGAAUGAGAGAUGUUAUGUUAGGCCAAUUUCCCUUUGCCAAGAUAUAAAGCAUUUAAUUAGGCAACACACCCAGAGAGGUUGUUAUCACCAGCUUAGCUGGGCUGGUGCAACAAGAAGACUACCUCGAUUGAUCAGUAAGGCAAUAGCAAAGGAUCUUAUAUUGACCGGUCGAAGGGUUUACGGCAGAGAAGCUAAGGCUCUAGGACUUGCCAACUACUGUAUGUGUUCCUGCUGGUGAAGCUUACACAAAGGCACUUGAGGUUGCCAGGAAUAUCAAUGAGAAGUUGGCAAUGAUUAGAGAAAGCAAUCUAAUAUAGUGAGGCUGGAAGCUCUCGGAAUAUCAUCAUUGUUGGGUUAUCAUUGUUUUUCUCUCUUUCCAUACCUGCCUACUUUCAACAAUAUGGUCUCUCUCCAUCCAACAUGUCAGUGCCGAAUUAUUUCCAGCCUUAUGUUGUGGCUUCUCAUGGACCUAUACAGAGCAAGAAUGGAGGGGUCUGGAGAAUGGGGAGAUCAUUUGACAUUGCAGGCAGCUGCUGAUAAGGUUUGCUAUGCAGAGAUAUUUGCUCUCAUUCCCUAAGAAUUGGAUCUCACUCAAUCUGACAAAUAACUUGUAUGCAUGUUUGUUUUUAUGCAUUCUGUGCAUGACCAUGAUUGAAGAGCAUGCAAGCAUCUCUCUUAAAUGUGAGUGUUCCUGAAGAACAAAUUAAAUGUGCUUCAAGAGCAUGCAAGCAUCUCUCUCUCUUGCAGUUCUGUUUUAAAGUUGUGUUUUUGUUAUCCUCUUUCACUUUUUCUUAAUCCUAUAAAACAUUGCUAGGCUUCUGAAAUCUAUCCAUAUCCUAUUUUUUGACACCGGGGAAUUGCAUAUGCUCAGUCCAAUGUAAACAAAUCAAAGAAGAAGAACUAGAUGAACAAAUACUUUCAAGUUUCAGCCACACAAGAGUCUACCAUGGAGUGAAAAAUCAUGUAACUCAGAUUAGAUUGGAGAGUUUAAACUUUAAAGAGAGCAUGAGGAAAUAGUUUUAAAAUUUAGGUUGAAAGUCCUGCCCUUCUCUGUUGUAGUUUAAAAGAAAUUUUGGGGUAUUUUUUUAUCGAGACAGUGAGAUAUUGAAUAAUGGUGUUGAAAAAUAACAUCCAAUUUUAUAGGUAUCAUGUAAUGAAUAUUAUGUUUAUCUAUGUGAUUUUUGGCUUUCAUUUUUUCAA
This is a long non-coding RNA of Arachis stenosperma, 2014 nucleotides long. RefSeq lists it as uncharacterized. The transcript has 11 exons. NCBI's taxonomy places the organism in Eukaryota, Viridiplantae, Streptophyta, Magnoliopsida, Fabales, Fabaceae. The record is from RefSeq and is a predicted model, not a curated record.